RNAcentral lists this ribosomal RNA (868 nucleotides) under uncultured bacterium. RNAcentral's name for it is "bacterial SSU rRNA". It matches the Rfam family "Bacterial small subunit ribosomal RNA", at positions 9 to 889 of the family's 1533-position model. The record is from RNAcentral.
GAGUUUGAUCAUGGCUCAGGACGAACGCUGGCGGCGUGCUUAACACAUGCAAGUCGAACGGUGACGAGGAGCUUGCUCCUCUGAUCAGUGGCGAACGGGUGAGUAACACGUGAGCAACCUACCCUUGACUCCGGGAUAACAGUUGGAAACAGCUGCUAAUACCGGAUACGACCUCCGCAGGCAUCUGCAGAGGUGGAAAGCUCCGACGGUCAAGGAUGGGCUCGCGGCCUAUCAGCUUGUUGGUGAGGUAACGGCUCACCAAGGCGACGACGGGUAGCCGGCCUGAGAGGGCGACCGGCCACACUGGGACUGAGAUACGGCCCAGACUCCUACGGGAGGCAGCAGUGGGGAAUAUUGCACAAUGGGCGAAAGCCUGAUGCAGCAACGCCGCGUGCGGGAUGACGGCCUUCGGGUUGUAAACCGCUUUCAGCAGGGACGAAGUGAAAAUGACGGUACCUGCAGAAGAAGCACCGGCUAACUACGUGCCAGCAGCCGCGGUGAUACGUAGGGUGCGAGCGUUGUCCGGAAUUAUUGGGCGUAAAGAGCUUGUAGGCGGUCUGUUGCGUCGGAAGUGAAAACUCAGGGCUUAACCCUGAGCCUGCUUUCGAUACGGGCAGACUUGAGGGAUGUAGGGGAGAACGGAAUUCCUGGUGGAGCGGUGGAAUGCGCAGAUAUCAGGAGGAACACCAGUGGCGAAGGCGGUUCUCUGGACAUUUCCUGACGCUGAGAAGCGAAAGCGUGGGGAGCAAACAGGCUUAGAUACCCUGGUAGUCCACGCCGUAAACGGUGGGCACUAGGUGUGGGACCCAUUCCACGGGUUCCGUGCCGAAGCUAACGCAUUAAGUGCCCCGCCUGGGGAGUACGCCGC